This 74-nucleotide transfer RNA is filed under the name Hyalomonas oviformis. Its description in RNAcentral is "tRNA-Arg". It matches the Rfam family "tRNA". From Rfam's summary of the family: Transfer RNA (tRNA) molecules are approximately 80 nucleotides in length. Their secondary structure includes four short double-helical elements and three loops (D, anti-codon, and T loops). Lineage: Eukaryota; Viridiplantae; Chlorophyta; Chlorophyceae; Chlamydomonadales; Chlamydomonadaceae. The record is from RNAcentral.
GAGCUUGUAGCUCAGUGGACUAGAGCGUGUGGCUACGAACCACAAGGUCGCGGGUUCGAAUCCCUCCUGGCUCA